AUACGUAGGGGGCGAGCGUUGUCCGGAAUGAUUGGGCGUAAAGGGCGCGUAGGCGGCGCGGUAAGUCUGGAGUGAAAGUCCUGCUUUCAAGGUGGGAAUUGCUUUGGAUACUGCCGCGCUUGAGUGCAGGAGAGGUUAUCGGAAUUCCCGGUGUAGCGGUGAAAUGCGUAGAGAUCGGGAGGAACACCAGUGGCGAAGGCGGGUAACUGGACUGUAACUGACGCUGAGGCGCGAAAGUGUGGGGAGCAAACAGGAUUAGAUACCCUGGUAGUCCACACUGUAAACGAUGAAUGCUAGGUGUAAGAGGUAUCGACCCCUUUUGUGCCGGAGUCAACACAAUAAGCAUUCCGCCUGGGGAGUACGGCCGCAAGGUUGAAACUCAAAUGAAUUGACGGGG
RNAcentral lists this ribosomal RNA (397 nucleotides) under uncultured bacterium. RNAcentral's name for it is "partial 16S ribosomal RNA". It matches the Rfam family "Bacterial small subunit ribosomal RNA", at positions 523 to 918 of the family's 1533-position model. The record is from RNAcentral.